GAUGAACGCUGGCGGCGUGCCUAAUACAUGCAAGUCGAGCGAACAGACGAGGAGCUUGCUCCUCUGACGUUAGCGGCGGACGGGUGAGUAACACGUGGAUAACCUACCUAUAAGACUGGGAUAACUUCGGGAAACCGGAGCUAAUACCGGAUAAUCUAUUGAACCGCAUGGUUCAAUAGUGAAAGACGGUUUUGCUGUCACUUAUAGAUGGAUCCGCGCCGCAUUAGCUAGUUGGUAAGGUAACGGCUUACCAAGGCGACGAUGCGUAGCCGACCUGAGAGGGUGAUCGGCCACACGGGAACUGAGACACGGUCCAGACUCCUACGGGAGGCAGCAGUAGGGAAUCUUCCGCAAGGGGCGAAAGCCUGACGGAGCAACGCCGCGUGAGUGAUGAAGGUCUUCGGAUCGUAAAACUCUGUUAUUAGGGAAGAACAAAUGUGUAAGUAACUAUGCACGUCUUGACGGUACCUAAUCAGAAAGCCACGGCUAACUACGUG
RNAcentral lists this ribosomal RNA (497 nucleotides) under uncultured bacterium. RNAcentral's name for it is "partial 16S ribosomal RNA". It matches the Rfam family "Bacterial small subunit ribosomal RNA", at positions 28 to 507 of the family's 1533-position model. The record is from RNAcentral.